Molecule: ribosomal RNA, 460 nt
Filed under: uncultured bacterium
Lineage: Bacteria
Description: partial 16S ribosomal RNA
Rfam family: Bacterial small subunit ribosomal RNA
Source: RNAcentral
CCUACGGGAGGCAGUAGUGAGGAAUAUUGGUCAAUGGACGAGAGUCUGAACCAGCCAAGUAGCGUGAAGGAUGACUGCCCUAUGGGUUGUAAACUUCUUUUAUAAAGGAAUAAAACGAGGCACGUGUGCCUUUUUGCAUGUACUUUAUGAAUAAGGAUCGGCUAACUCCGUGCCAGCAGCCGCGGUAAUACGGAGGAUCCGAGCGUUAUCCGGAUUUAUUGGGUUUAAAGGGAGCGUAGAUGGGUUGUUAAGUCAGUUGUGAAAGUUUGCGGCUCAACCGUAAAAUUGCAAUUGAUACUGGCAGUCUUGAGUACAGUUGAGGUAGGCGGAAUGCGUGGUGUAGCGGUGAAAUGCUUAGAGAUCACGAAGAACCCCGAUUGCGAAGGCAGCUUACUAAACUGUGACUGACAUUGAUGCUCGAAAGUGUGGGUAGCAAACAGGAUUAGAUACCCGUGUAGUC